RNAcentral lists this ribosomal RNA (484 nucleotides) under uncultured bacterium. RNAcentral describes it as "partial 16S ribosomal RNA". It matches the Rfam family "Bacterial small subunit ribosomal RNA", at positions 29 to 507 of the family's 1533-position model. The record is from RNAcentral.
AUUGAACGCUGGCGGCAUGCUUUACACAUGCAAGUCGAACGGCAGCGCGGGCUUCGGCCUGGCGGCGAGUGGCGAACGGGUGAGUAAUACAUCGGAACGUGCCCAGUAGUGGGGGAUAGCUCGGCGAAAGCCGGAUUAAUACCGCAUACGACCUGAGGGUGAAAGCGGGGGAUCUUCGGACCUCGCGCUAUUGGAGCGGCCGAUGGCAGAUUAGCUAGUUGGUGGGGUAAAGGCCUACCAAGGCGACGAUCUGUAGCUGGUCUGAGAGGACGACCAGCCACACUGGGACUGAGACACGGCCCAGACUCCUACGGGAGGCAGCAGUGGGGAAUUUUGGACAAUGGGCGAAAUCCUGAUCCAGCAAUGCCGCGUGUGUGAUGAAGGCCUUCGGGUUGUAAAGCACUUUUGGCGGGAACGAAAAGGACUGUGCCAAUACCACGGUUCGAUGACGGUACCCGCAGAAUAAGCACCGGCUAACUACGUG